CCAAUAGCGUAUAUUAAAGUUGUUGCAGUUAAAAAGCUCGUAGUUGAAUUUCGGGGUUCAUCCGUUGGUCGGGCUUUUUGGUCUGUACUGGCGUGAUGGAUUCCUACCUUCUGAAUAACCGGCAUGUCAUUAAUUUGGUGCGCCGGGGAAGCAGGACUGUUACCUUGAAAAAAUUAGAGUGCUUAAAGCAGGCUAUCGCCUGAAUACAUUAGCAUGGAAUAAUGAAAUAGGACGGCAUGGUUCUAUUUUGUUGGUUUCUAGGAUCACCGUAAUGAUUAAUAGGGAUAGUUGGGGGCAUUAGUAUUCAAUUGUCAGAGGUGAAAUUCUUGGAUGUAUUGAAGACUAACUUCUGCGAAAGCAUUUGCCAAGGAUGUUUUCAUUAAUCAAGAACGAAAGUUAGGGGAUCGAAGACGAUCAGAUACCGUCGUAGUCUUAACCAUAAACGAUGCCGACUAGGGAUCGGACGAUGUUAAUUUUUUAAUGACUCGUUCGGCGCCUUACG
RNAcentral lists this ribosomal RNA (502 nucleotides) under uncultured Glomeromycotina. Its description in RNAcentral is "partial small subunit ribosomal RNA". It matches the Rfam family "Eukaryotic small subunit ribosomal RNA", at positions 591 to 1092 of the family's 1831-position model. Lineage: Eukaryota; Fungi; Glomeromycota. The record is from RNAcentral.